ACGAGAUGUCAUAAAUGUACGGCUCGUAGAUUGUUCGAGGGGUCAAUACGCCAGACUACUUAAAAAUAGAUUAUGAUAUGAAACGAAAACGUAAGUAUUUUUCUCAUGGAUUCACAUAAAUGACAGAUUUGUUCUAUUGUUUAUAAAAAAUACAAAAUAAAUCAUUGUAUUAUGAAUGUUCGUAACGAAAAUUUCAAUAUAAUACUAAAAAUGUAGAACACUUCAAAUAAACAAGAAAAAAGAAGCGUUGUACAAUUUCAUACUAAAAGUCUUCGAUGCGUAAAAUAAACGUAAAGUUAUGCUAUUUUUUAUCUGUAAUAAUUAGCAAACGCU
Molecule: non-coding RNA, 333 nt
Organism: Cinara cedri
Lineage: Eukaryota; Metazoa; Arthropoda; Insecta; Hemiptera; Aphididae
Source: the annotation of a GenBank genome assembly